Molecule: small nucleolar RNA, 136 nt
Organism: Sorex fumeus (smoky shrew)
Lineage: Eukaryota; Metazoa; Chordata; Mammalia; Eulipotyphla; Soricidae
Source: RefSeq, a predicted model, not a curated record
AUGGUCCUGAAUCAAGGCUAGCAGUUUGCUAAAGCUGUUGACUUCAAACAGAAGCCAAAUAAAUGUCUUUCUACGGUCUUUUGACCAUUUCACACUUUUGGAAAUAUAAUGGUUAAUUCAUUAGAGACAUUUGAAA